This 495-nucleotide ribosomal RNA is filed under the name uncultured bacterium. Its description in RNAcentral is "partial 16S ribosomal RNA". It matches the Rfam family "Bacterial small subunit ribosomal RNA", at positions 28 to 507 of the family's 1533-position model. The record is from RNAcentral.
GACGAACGCUGGCGGCGUGCCUAAUACAUGCAAGUAGAACGCUGAAGGAGGAGCUUGCUUCUCUGGAUGAGUUGCGAACGGGUGAGUAACGCGUAGGUAACCUGCCUGGUAGCGGGGGAUAACUAUUGGAAACGAUAGCUAAUACCGCAUAAGAGUAGAUGUUGCAUGACAUUUGCUUAAAAGGUGCAAUUGCAUCACUACCAGAUGGACCUGCGUUGUAUUAGUUAGUUGGUGGGGUAACGGCUCACCAAGGCGACGAUACAUAGCCGACCUGAGAGGGGGAACGGCCACACUGGGACUGAGAAACGGCCCAUACUCCGACAGGAGGCAGCAGUAGGGAAACUUCGGCAAUGGACGGAAGUCUGAACGAGCAACGCCGCGGGAGUGAAGAAGGUUUUCGGAUCGUAAAGCUCAGUUGUAAGGGAAGAACGAGUGUGAGAGUGGAAAGUUCACACUGUGACGGUAUCUUAGCAGAAAGGGACGGCUAACUACGUG